UCUGUGCGUAGACAGACUAAUUUGACUACGUGUUUGAAACCAGUUAAGAAUCCCCGGGUUAUACAACAACAAACGACAACAAACGACACACCUACACCCCCGGUGUAGGUGUUAUUUAGUGUUAUUUCUUUAGCUAAUAUCAGACUUAAAGCAUAAAAAGUCAGUGGAAAUGUAACAACUCUCGUCCUAGAGGAAGCUAAAUGCUAGCUCAUAGCUAGACAAAGUGUAGCGAAAGUGAU
Molecule: long non-coding RNA, 239 nt
Organism: Cynoglossus semilaevis (tongue sole)
Lineage: Eukaryota; Metazoa; Chordata; Actinopteri; Pleuronectiformes; Cynoglossidae
Exons: 2
Source: RefSeq, a predicted model, not a curated record